Molecule: long non-coding RNA, 451 nt
Filed under: Prunus dulcis (almond)
Lineage: Eukaryota; Viridiplantae; Streptophyta; Magnoliopsida; Rosales; Rosaceae
Description: sRNA ncRNA
Source: RNAcentral
CGCCUGGAGAUCCCCAUGUAACUGGCUGGAGUUUUUAGUACCAAUAAACUGCAAACGUUAUUAGGUUUCAGAAGAUCAAAAGAAAACUUUAAGAUGCCUGGAGAUCAUUGAUUUUGUGAACGCAGAUUCGCAAAUUGACAAUGAAUGUGCUGCUAACUUGGUGGGAGUUUUCCUUGUAUUCCUAAAAAAUCUGUCAUGAUUACUGACUUGAGCGCUAAAAGCAAAGUCAACUUUUAGGAAAUAAUCUUCAAUCUGUUCAUCCUAUUGAUUUUGAACACACCGCCUCAAGAUUCCUCAUCAGCCUCCAAUAUACCAGUUCUCUUCAUUCUUGAAAUCCCUAGCCAUAUGUCAUUCCCACUGGAUCUUGACACGUGAUUUGGCUCAGAUUCUUUCUGAAUAUCUCUAGCUGUACUUAAAUAAUUCUAAAUACAUCUGAUGGAAGGUUAAAACA